RNAcentral lists this ribosomal RNA (465 nucleotides) under uncultured Lactobacillus sp. RNAcentral's name for it is "partial 16S ribosomal RNA". The record is from RNAcentral. Lineage: Bacteria; Bacillati; Bacillota; Bacilli; Lactobacillales; Lactobacillaceae.
GACUACUCGGGUAUCUAAGCCUGUUCGCUACCCAUGCUUUCGAGCCUCAGCGUCAGUUACAGACCAGACAGCCGCCUUCGCCACUGGUGUUCUUCCAUAUAUCUACGCAUUUCACCGCUACACAUGGAGUUCCACUGUCCUCUUCUGCACUCAAGUCUCCCAGUUUCCGAUGCACUUCUCCGGUUAAGCCGAAGGCUUUCACAUCAGACUUAAGAAACCGCCUGCGCUCGCUUUACGCCCAAUAAAUCCGGACAACGCUUGCCACCUACGUAUUACCGCGGCUGCUGGCACGUAGUUAGCCGUGGCUUUCUGGUUAAAUACCGUCAACACCUGAACAGUUACUCUCAGAUGUGUUCUUCUUCAACAACAGAGUUUUACGAGCCGAAACCCUUCUUCACUCACGCGGCGUUGCUCCAUCAGACUUUCGUCCAUUGUGGAAGAUUCCCUACUGCAGCCCCCCGUAGG